AGCUCCAAUAGCGUAUAUUAAAGUUGUUGCAGUUAAAAAGCUCGUAGUUGGAUUCCUAGCGAGAGCGACCGGUCAGGUCCGAAUGGGCUUGUACUUGGAGUUGUCUUUUGCUAUUUUUUGGGAGAAGCUGCUUGGCAUUAAAUUGUCGGGUUGGGGACCCCAAUCGUUUACUGUGAAAAAAUUAGAGUGUUUAAAGCAGGCAUUUGCUGUGAAUACAUUAGCAUGGAAUAAUAAGAUAGGACUUGGUGCUAUUUUGUUGGUUUGCACGCCAAGUAAUGAUUAACAGGGACAGUUGGGGGUAUUCGUAUUUAAUUGUCAGAGGUGAAAUUCUUGGAUUUAUGAAAGACGAACUACUGCGAAAGCAUUUACCAAGGAUGUUUUCAUUAAUCAAGAACGAAAG
This 400-nucleotide ribosomal RNA is filed under the name phytoplankton environmental sample. Its description in RNAcentral is "partial small subunit ribosomal RNA". It matches the Rfam family "Eukaryotic small subunit ribosomal RNA", at positions 587 to 989 of the family's 1831-position model. The record is from RNAcentral.